Molecule: transfer RNA, 71 nt
Filed under: Methyloligella halotolerans
Lineage: Bacteria; Pseudomonadati; Pseudomonadota; Alphaproteobacteria; Hyphomicrobiales; Hyphomicrobiaceae
Rfam family: tRNA
About the family: Transfer RNA (tRNA) molecules are approximately 80 nucleotides in length. Their secondary structure includes four short double-helical elements and three loops (D, anti-codon, and T loops). Further hydrogen bonds mediate the characteristic L-shaped molecular structure. tRNAs have two regions of fundamental functional importance: the anti-codon, which is responsible for specific mRNA codon recognition, and the 3' end, to which the tRNAs corresponding amino acid is attached (by aminoacyl-tRNA synthetases). tRNAs cope with the degeneracy of the genetic code in two manners: having more than one tRNA (with a specific anti-codon) for a particular amino acid; and 'wobble' base-pairing, i.e. permitting non-standard base-pairing at the 3rd anti-codon position.
Source: Rfam by way of RNAcentral
CGGGGCAUAGCGCAGCCUGGUAGCGCACCUUGGGGAGCAGGGGGUCGCAAGUUCGAAUCUUGCUGCCCCGA